Molecule: ribosomal RNA, 253 nt
Filed under: uncultured bacterium
Lineage: Bacteria
Description: partial 16S ribosomal RNA
Rfam family: Bacterial small subunit ribosomal RNA
Source: RNAcentral
UACGUAGGUGGCAAGCGUUGUCCGGAUUUACUGGGCGUAAAGAGCGCGCAGGCGGUCGUUCAAGUCGCGUGUGAAAGCCCCCGGCUCAACUGGGGAGGGUCACGCGAUACUGAUCGACUCGAAGGCAGGAGAGGGAAGUGGAAUUCCCGGUGUAGUGGUGAAAUGCGUAGAUAUCGGGAGGAACACCAGUGGCGAAGGCGACUUCCUGGCCUGUUCUUGACGCUGAGGCGCGAAAGCUAGGGGAGCAAACAGG